Molecule: long non-coding RNA, 119 nt
Organism: Leopardus geoffroyi (Geoffroy's cat)
Lineage: Eukaryota; Metazoa; Chordata; Mammalia; Carnivora; Felidae
Exons: 4
Source: RefSeq, a predicted model, not a curated record
AUUCAGAAGUGUGCUCUUUCUAUCUGUUUUAUUCUUUCUGGCCUCUGUUCUUCAAGUUUGCCUUUGUUGAUUUCAUGUAAUCUUCAAUUUACUUCUUGUAGGCUUCUUUUGUGAAGCUG